GCACCCGUAGCUCAGUAGGAUAGAGUACUGCUUUCCGAAAGCAGAGGUCUCAGGUUCAAUUCCUGUCGGGUGUA
Molecule: transfer RNA, 74 nt
Filed under: Enterobacteriaceae endosymbiont of Donacia tomentosa
Lineage: Bacteria; Pseudomonadati; Pseudomonadota; Gammaproteobacteria; Enterobacterales; Enterobacteriaceae
Description: tRNA-Arg
Rfam family: tRNA
About the family: Transfer RNA (tRNA) molecules are approximately 80 nucleotides in length. Their secondary structure includes four short double-helical elements and three loops (D, anti-codon, and T loops).
Source: RNAcentral